CUUAUCUCAUACAAGAGCAGUAAACGCACGCAUUUCAAAGCGAAAUUAGACGCAAAGGGGCAAUUUUUCAACAAAAUUCAUUGUUAAAUUAUGUUUCCUAUGUGCCUUGGGAGCAAAAAAAUAUGAUUUUAAGUUUGGAGAUUUCGGUAAAUUUUUUUGCAAUUUGGCCUGGUAUUGCACCCUACCUAUGUACUAACUGUGCUGUAAAAGUAAUCAAAUAUACUAUUUUUAAUUUCCUUUCAUUGAAAGGAUCUACUAUUGUGGACUAAACUAAAUUUUAAUCAGCAUGUAAGGCUGCAAACAACAGCCAAGAAUUAGCUGGGUAGUUUGCAAACUUUAAAAAUAAUUGGACCUCAAACUUUGAUCUCCAGAAGUAAACAAAUAGACAAUACUGCGAACAUAAUCCAAGUUUUGAUCACGAGGGGCAAUUUUUAGAUGUAAAAAAACUUGUUUAAAUUACAUAUCAAACUAAGACAAAACAAAAUUUGGUAUUAAAUUUUUGGUGAAAUCGUCAAAGUUUUUUGCUAUCCGCCCACACUUCUACACCCCCUCUCCCAGGAUAUUCUACCUCAAAAAACAGUUUUCUGCAGAAACUAUGCUUUUUUAUUGGAAAAAUGUUUACUUUUCUCAAAAAAUACAUUAUAAACACGGAAACCUUAAAUAUUUAAAUAAUUUUCAUACCUUUUUGGGAUUGAAAAAAGCAAAAUUUGAUUCAUUAUCCCACUUUUUAAAAUAUAUGUGAUAAAGUUGCUUCAAAAUCACCAUCACGCAGUAGCAUGUUUAUUUACCCUCAUCCUUUUGACUGAAUGAAGUUUAUCGUUUUGAAAAGCUAUUUGUUUUAUAGCUCUUGGUUACCGGUUUACGUUUAUGUCGAUUUUGGCACCCAUGAGACCAACAAAUUGUGGUAAUCCGCGAAUGAAAAUGGACAUUCGAAGAGCACAAAAGCCAACUCCUAGCUAUGUAACUUUAUCGCCUGAAGUUUGAAUCAAUCCAAAAUUAAAAUGCUGAUAAUGUAGAUGCUUUCCAUACUUGAGAUGUUAGUGAAGUUUUUCCUACAAUUUAAUUUCCAUGAUCGCCGUCUUAAAAAUGCAAAAUCAUCAGUUGAAAUUUCACUCGUGUUGUUUUUUCAAAUUUUCGAAUUUUUGUAAAAUAUCGCGUGCGCCAGCAAUUUCUCUGCACAGCGACAACAAAUUUCCCAGCUGCUUCAUUUCGCUAUUUCGCAAACACUUUCGCUCAAUCUGCUUGAAUUUUUAAUUUUUUAAUUUUGCUGUGGCGAAAACAGUCGCUCUUUGAAACUGGAAAUAUGAUUUUUAAAAUUUGUGCUAGAACUUGGAACUAUAAAGUAUGGUUUAAACUGAAC
Non-coding RNA from Paramuricea clavata, 1360 nucleotides. The record is from the annotation of a GenBank genome assembly. NCBI's taxonomy places the organism in Eukaryota, Metazoa, Cnidaria, Anthozoa, Malacalcyonacea, Plexauridae.